CCUGCUAAUUAUGCGCCCCUACCAUUCUUUCCUGCCACGGUCCAACGCGCCCGCCGCGCCAAAAUCUCCCCUCGACCGCCGCGGCGCCCGAGCACCCUGGCUCCCUCUCCCGCACCAACGCCCGGCGGCCGGCACCCGUCCUCCCCCGCGCGCAUCCCUGCCGGCCGCUGCUCCUUAGCUUACCCGCCGGCCAAAUUCUACGAGGUCACCGCGGCGUCCUUCCCGUCCCGACCGUAGCGCUGCCCCCUCCUCAUGACCCCAUCCGCGCCACCGCUCCCUCUCCUGCGCAAUAGCGGCGCACGGCGGCUCUGGCGAUGGAGGCGGUAGCCGGGCACGCGGAGGCAGCCGAGGGGUGCCAAAUCCCGUCGACAAGACCCGCGCCGCCACUCCCCUUCCCUGCCGUGCGCCUCCCCUUCUCAUCCAUCCUCGCCACCCCUCUUCCGAGGCCUUGCAAGCUCCUAACCUCCCAGUCCCCUCCACCGAUGCCCUGUUGCAGACUAGAUUGUGGUGCACGCGGCCUCAUCCCCUGGUGGAGGAGUCAGGGGUGACGGCGGCGAGUAGCCGAGGAAGAGGGCGGAGGAAUCGAGGCGACGGUGGCGAGGAGCCAAGGAGGAUACCAGGCAUAUGAAGAUCCGGUGAGGCGAACUCAAGGUUCGACAACCAUCUUGUCCACGUUCGGCCAUCGUUUUCCACUGACGCGGUGAGCCCCAAUCGGCGUGGUAGACAAGACCUUCUUCUCCGCCAAGCUCUAAUCCAUUCUCAACACCACCACCUCCCGCCCCCCCCCCCCCCCCCCCCCCCCAAGUUCGCAAAUCCUCAAGUCUUGCUUGAUCCCCAAUUUCGGUAGACCCUUCACCCUGCUGUUUUCAAUCCAUUCUCCAAAAUGGAGCACGGGAAAGCUGGGUCGACGAACGACGCGGUGGACAGUUGCAUCGGCUGCGCCGCCGCCACCUAAGUUUCUGCCGAUACCCUACAUCAUCCGAGCGAGGUUUGUGUGGCUGGUGUAUUCUGUAGAAGCAAACUAUCAAGCAUGACGAUGAUAUGGUGGGCGUCAGGAACGCUCGUCGCUCACAUGGCUGAAAUCUGCACCCAAACCCCAGUUCGCCACAAUGUGUUGCCACAAGUGAAACGAUAUUUCAGUGCAGUGCCCCCUUACCGGCAUCAUCAACUCCAUCCUCUGUUUGCUAUCAUGGGAAAUGAGGAGCAGCCCAUGAUGGCGGAACAACAUAAUAUGUUAAGCUAGAUUGUGUGUCAACCUACUGGGACACUGGUUCCGAUGUCAAGAAAUGAACCCAACUGACCAAACAUGAAGUUUGUUAAACGGCAAGAAUCAUAAUCUGCAAUUGUAUUACUAUUUGUUACUGCCUUGAUAUUCAGAAUUAAAUCUGUUUUGCUCUAGCUUUGCACUGGGUUGACACUUGCUGAAAUAUAUGUGUUAUCGAUUAGGGACAUAGGUUAAUUUCUGGUUUGUCAUUCAUACAAGUAGAAGGUGCUAGGGAUAGAAAGGAUGUUCUAUACGUGGUUGACUCAAGUAGUGAAUCUAUAUGCCAAUCGAAGCAGUUGAUUGAUCAGUGAUGCUUUUACUUGUGCAGUUGCACGGAUAUAAAAUUCUAGCUUUCGUCAAACAUUUUGUAAUAGUAAGGCUGAUUUAUUUUUUUCCUGUUAGAUACCUGCAAGGCAAUAGGUUAACUGGACCCCGGUAUGACCAGAGCUUAGUUAUAUGUCGACACUGCAUUACCUAUAAUGCGCAGGUAGAACAAGUAGAACAAGAUGCAGUCCAGAAUAUAGCAAGAGCAGCUCUCUGCUUUGAUAACCACGCAUGUAUUUUCAAAUUCAGUCCGAAUUUGGGCAAGAUCAUUGGCUGCACCCAGUCUUGGGUUGCCAAGACCAAGGCCAAGAUCAAGAAGGAUGGCAUGAAGGUUAGUCAGGACAUCCAGCCCAAUGGCGGAGCGUGGUCUGUGUGUAUAGGUAGAAUAUCAUUUCUUGUUGCAUUUCAGUUUGUUACCAGUGUGUGUUAAGUGAUAAAGUGAUAUACACUCAUAGUCUACAAAUAGAAUUUUAUUACAUAUAGCUUCUCUGCUGGUAGCCGGGUCAUGGAAGGUGCAAAUUUGGCAGGUAGAACAGUCAAUUUAAGCUAUGUGGGCAUCUGAUUUAUGAAUCCAUAUAAGCAAGGUGGCAAUUACCAAUUUAUUGCUUCAGCUGAUUGAUUGAUAAAUUAUUUAUAUGCUAAGAUAUGCAGCAACAUGACAUUGUAUUAUCGAGGCUAGGUUGGUCAAGAAGUCCAUUACAUGGAUGUCAGGUCAUUGAUCCGCAGGCUGUCCUGCCUGCCGUCCAUCCGCUGGCAGCCUUGCUCACUUACCAGCAUCCCGAGCGGCGCCUCUGGUUGACCUUCAAGACAUGAUGAUGUGGCAACAUCCAUGGUACUUAAUAUUACAAUGACAGCAGGCAGUACAGCAUUAGAAAAUAGUGCUAUAUUCAUGGGUUGCCAAGAGAUGCCAUUCCUACUAAUUACUGAACCACUUGAGUAAUUUGUAGCAAGUCUUCAGUAUCUUUGACUCACGUGGGCUCUUUUAAUUGCUGUAAAAUUUCAUGAACCAUGCAUAUUGCAGACCGAUCUCCUAGGACUGGAUGUGCAGUACAGCUAGAACCUAGCAUAUGUUCAGUUUAUCAAUAUGGUUGUGGUAUGUUGGCACCCCACUAAUAUUUUAGGUGUACUAUAUUUUGAAUUCGCCUGCAAUGAAUAUGCCUUCCCAGUGUGUUGGACGCGCUAUAAGAAUGUAUGAACCCUCGAGUUCAGGAGAUGAGGUGAACGGAGUCAAUGAUUUUGGAUAAUGAAUUCAACUAUGCGCAA
Molecule: long non-coding RNA, 2851 nt
Organism: Panicum hallii
Lineage: Eukaryota; Viridiplantae; Streptophyta; Magnoliopsida; Poales; Poaceae
Exons: 6
Source: RefSeq, a predicted model, not a curated record